GUUGAAUUGAUUCUCAGCCACUGAUAGAAGACCUAGAACCCUGAGGCAAGAAAUGACUGCUGGAUCUUUGUACCCUGCUACGAAUAAUGAGACUGGUAUUAGCCAACUAAGAAGAGUUUCAAAGUCUGCUUAACUAUUGACAGGAUUGCUGCACUACUGGUGUUGUGGCCUUCCCUUGACAAGCAAUGAAAAAUCAAGUCUAGUGUGCCAAUCUGGACUUGCGUGUCAGAAGAAAGAAGUGGGCCUUUUAUGGCUUCAGCAAAUAAGUUCGUCAUAGUAUUAUAAUCUGCCGUAGGUCCUGUUGCUUGCAUGAAGUUAUCUUCUUCUCCAGAACUCCUCCAAGUGUUGUCGUUUGCAAACGCGCUCUCGAAGUACCCCCUUUGAGCUAAUACUGUCAGCAGCGCUGAAAGGUAAGGUAAUGGAGAAGCUAUCUGUGAGGAGAUGUAAAACGAACCUAUACAGUUUGUACGAACUUCAUCACUUUGAGUCUUCAUGAGUGCUUCCAGUGAUAAACUCAAGAGUUUGGGGCAGUAGACAAGUAAAUCCUCUGGAUCAUCUCCAGCUUGUAAUAAAAAUACUUUGAACAAAACAAACAGGAUUUCUCCACGAAUCUCUUCGCUGUGGUAAAAUUACAAGAAGAUAUUACUAU
Long non-coding RNA from Papaver somniferum (opium poppy), 649 nucleotides. RefSeq lists it as uncharacterized. The transcript has 3 exons. Lineage: Eukaryota; Viridiplantae; Streptophyta; Magnoliopsida; Ranunculales; Papaveraceae. The record is from RefSeq and is a predicted model, not a curated record.